Molecule: ribosomal RNA, 433 nt
Filed under: uncultured bacterium
Lineage: Bacteria
Description: partial 16S ribosomal RNA
Rfam family: Bacterial small subunit ribosomal RNA
Source: RNAcentral
AACGAACGCUGGCGGCAGGCCUAACACAUGCAAGUCGAGCGAGGACUUCGGUCCUAGCGGCGGACGGGUGAGUAACGCGUGGGAACGUGCCCUUUGCUUCGGAAUAGCCCUGGGAAACUGGGAGUAAUACCGGAUGAGCCCUUUGGGGGAAAGAUUUAUCGGCGAAGGAUCGGCCCGCGUUGGAUUAGGUAGUUGGUGGGGUAAUGGCCUACCAAGCCGACGAUCCAUAGCUGGUUUGAGAGGAUGAUCAGCCACACUGGGACUGAGACACGGCCCAGACUCCUACGGGAGGCAGCAGUGGGGAAUCUUAGACAAUGGGGGAAACCCUGAUCUAGCCAUGCCGGGUGAGCGAUGAAGGCCUUAGGGUUGUAAAGCUCUUUCAGCUGGGAAGAUAAUGACGGUACCAGCAGAAGAAGCCCCGGCUAACUCCGUG